Molecule: ribosomal RNA, 468 nt
Filed under: uncultured bacterium
Lineage: Bacteria
Description: partial 16S ribosomal RNA
Rfam family: Bacterial small subunit ribosomal RNA
Source: RNAcentral
GACGAACGCUGGCGGCGUGCUUAACACAUGCAAGUCGAACGGAAAGGCCCUGCUUUUGUGGGGUGCUCGAGUGGCGAACGGGUGAGUAACACGUGAGUAACCUGCCCUUGACUUUGGGAUAACUUCAGGAAACUGGGGCUAAUACCGGAUAGGAGCUCCUGCUGCAUGGUGGGGGUUGGAAAGUUUCGGCGGUUGGGGAUGGACUCGCGGCUUAUCAGCUUGUUGGUGGGGUAGUGGCUUACCAAGGCUUUGACGGGUAGCCGGCCUGAGAGGGUGACCGGCCACAUUGGGACUGAGAUACGGCCCAGACUCCUACGGGAGGCAGCAGUGGGGAAUAGUGCACAAUGGGCGGAAGCCUGAUGCAGCAAAGCCGCGUGCGGGAUGACGGCCUUCGGGUUGUAAACCGCUUUCGCCUGUGACGAAGCGUGAGUGACGGUAAUGGGUAAAGAAGCACCGGCUAACUACGUG